GGGGACGACUGGUUUUGACAGCAAGGUCAGUAAAAUUGUAAGCAUAUCGAGGAAUGAGAUCAUAACUCGUAAAACUUAUUUCAACUUUUUAAACGGCGAAAAUAAUUACGCUUUAGCUGCAUAGUCUGAAUUUAUAGUAAGACUAGCCUAGGCACACAAGGUGUGCAAGCUUUAUGUCCACGAAAAGCCCUGAUUUAUGGCGUUUCUUUUUUGGGCAUCGUAAAAAUAGAUCUAGAGAUACUAGCACUUCGAUAGUACUUCGAAAUUAAAGAAGAUAAGCUUUAAGUAGAUUGUUUUUGAUCAGCUUUAAGUCGAAAAUCAAACAAAAACUAAAUAUGUAGAAAGCCAUUUAACUGCUUGUUUGGACCCGAGUUCGAUUCUCGGCGUCUCCACAA
This 395-nucleotide transfer-messenger RNA is filed under the name Asprobacillus argus. It matches the Rfam family "transfer-messenger RNA". Rfam says of the family: Bacterial tmRNA, also known as 10Sa RNA or SsrA, is named for its dual tRNA and mRNA-like properties. Its role is to liberate the mRNA from a stalled ribosome. The record is from RNAcentral. Lineage: Bacteria; Pseudomonadati; Bacteroidota; Flavobacteriia; Flavobacteriales; Flavobacteriaceae.